RNAcentral lists this long non-coding RNA (6244 nucleotides) under Sus scrofa (pig). RNAcentral describes it as "lncRNA (ENSSSCG00045021370.1)". Lineage: Eukaryota; Metazoa; Chordata; Mammalia; Artiodactyla; Suidae. The record is from RNAcentral.
CCUUACUGGGUAGACUGCAGAGCUUCUGUAGGGGAAUAACCUGUGCUUUUUAUUGAUGCCCUAGGGACCGGGCCCGAGUGUGUGUGUGUGUGUGCGCGUGUGUGUGCGUUUUCUGUGUUCGCUGGUUGAACUGACGCUAGGAGGAGGGAGAAGGCGGAGGGGCUGGGAACUAUUUUUGUUCCCUUAGGUAGCAUAAAAUUGUCUUUGCUUAAUGAAAAGUUUUAAAACUGGUCAGGACAGGAGCAAAAGUACUGUGAAUAUGGUGGAGUAAAAGGGAUUACUCCUGAGGAACCUUAGGCCUGUGACUAAUCCCUUAAUUAUUAUGUGAAAAGUUACAGAUUCUUAGGAAUUUUAAGUUUUGGAGACGGCAACAGUAAAUAAAUUUAAUGUAUAUGUUUGAAAUCAGGAAAAACCGGUUCCUUUGGGCACACUUUUUGUCCUAUGUGAAGAAAUCUAUAACCAUUGUCAGUAAUCACCUUUCUAGGCACAAUCUUAAAGCCUAUAUCCAAAACUAUGAAGGUGAGAAGCUUGUUAAAAAGUCAUCCCUACAGGGUUAAGUGCCCUGGAAGACAAAUACAAUAGCAAUUAUAUUUUGUAAUUGAAUUUAAAUUUAUUACCCUGACUUGAAGAAUCCGCUGUAAGCACUGUUUUCAAAACUACAGGAACAUCAUUGUACAGUAUGUUCAAAAAUAGAGAUGCCCUUCUUCAGAUCACGAAGCAAUUACGUUCAUGGAUCUUUAAGGUCAUUAAUAAUUUAAUUCUAAUCUUUGUAAAAUAAUUUGUAUGAAUAUUCCAAAUGCAGUGUGUGCUGCUUUCCUAAGAAACAUGUUUAAUCUUGUUUUGAGAGAAUGCUACUGCCAUUAAGUUUUAGUUAUUUAAAGUGUAAUAGAGUGGUAGUUUAGAACACAGGUGUUUGGUUUUUAGUUGUCAGUAAGGAAGGGGCUUUCAGGGACUUUUGUGUGUUGUAAGAUACAUGCCUUCUGUAGAUUUGAUUGUAUUUUCUGGAAUUUGUUUUUUGAAAUACCUUAUUAGAAUGUUUAUUUAGUAUUUGGGGCACUAUAUUUAUUAAAUGUGCAAUCCAGAAAUUCCUGCAUUUACUUUUUUACUUAGAGUAUAUGUUUCAUAUUUUUAAACUGAGAUUAACAGAAGUGAUUGUCAGCUCUUUAAGAAAUAAUUUGAAGUGGUGCUUUUUAUUGGUAUUCAGGAUUUAGAGACUAUAUGAAUAUCAUUUUUUUUUUUUUUUGUCUUUUUGCCUUUGCUAGGACCACUCCCCCGGCACAUGGAGGUUCCCAGGCUCGGGGUCUAAUCGGAGCUGAAGCCGCUGGCCUAUGCCAGAGCCACAGCAACGCAGGAUCCAAGCCACAUCUGCAACCUACACCACACACAGCUCACAACAACGCCAGAUCGUUAACCCACUGAGCAAGGCCAGGGACCGAACCUGAAACCUCAUGGUUCCUAGUCGGAUUCGUAAACCACUGUGCCACGACGGGAACUCCUAUAUGAAUAUCAUUUUAAAAAGAUAUGCUUUACAUCAAACUUCUACUCCCUGUAAUUAACAUUAACUCUGAAGAAAUCAUCUAUAAAGUUUUUCUACCUAAAUUUUUGUAUUUUGGAAAAGUUGGGAUUUAAUGAUUUGUAUAUCUUCUGCUGGUAGAUUAAAUUGUUAGAUCCAGUAAAUAAUCUCACCAUACAUGCUGUUUCCAUUCAUUUUGUCUUCAGGCUCUUCCUUCCAAUAUGAAAUAAGCCUAUAAGCUGGCACCUCUUUUUCUUUGAUAUUCCUAGUUUAAUGUCCUUAGAAAAGGUAAAGUAGUUGAAGUCUCCCUAUUUUAAACCAGAUUUUCACCAGAAACUCUCAUCUCCACUGAAUAACAAUUAUUUUUUUUAAAUUAAUAAAGUAUUUGUUAUGCUGUUCUUUAAUUAAAAGUGUACUAUGGAAUUCCCACUGUGGUUCAGUGGGUUCAGGAUGUGGCAUUGCCAAAGCUGUGGUGUAGGUCACAGCUGCUGCUCAGAUUCCACCCCUGGCCCAGGGAACUUCUGUACACUGAGGUGUGGGCACAGUAAAUUAAAAUGUACUGUAAAUAAAUUUGUAUUGUUGUAGUCAGUAGUUUAAUCUAGAACAUUUAUGUGUUUAUCAAAUAUUCCCACCUUUUCCUUGAGGCUAAAUACUGAUCUAAAAUUCUGCGUGUUAUUGUAACUUUUACUGAUGAGGUAGUAAUGAUAGUAUUCACCUAUUCAUAUCUAGGGGAAAAUCCCACAAAAAAUAUUUUGUUUCUUUUGUUCUGUUUCUUAAGUUUGAAAAGUUAGUGUAAGUUAUAGUUUCAAAGAAAUUUAAGGAUCUUUAAGGUCAGCAAUAAUUGGAAUUAUUUUACAUGUAUUAUUAUAACUAAAUAUCAUUUAAAAUAUACAUAAAUAUUCAUUAAAAAUCCUACUUUCAUUCUUUUUAAUAACCUUGUAACUGGUAUAUCCAUUUAUAUAUGUGUAUUUUUUGGGCGGCUUUUUUUUUUUUGGCUUCUCUAGGGCCGCACCCACAGCAUAUGGAGGUUCCUAGGCUAAGGGUCUAAUUGGACCUGUAGCCGCUGGCCUACGCCACAGCCUCAGCAACUUGGGAUCCAAGCCACAUUUUCAACCUACACCACGGCUCCAGAAAUGCCAGAUCUUUAACCCACUGAGCAAGGCCAAGGAUCAAACCUGCAACCUCAUGGUUCCUAGUCAGAUUCGUUAACCACUGAGCCAUGACGGGAACUCCUCCAUUUAUAUAUAUAUAUAUUUUUUAGUGACGCUUUCUUUUUCUUCUUCUUGGCAUUUUGGUAGUGGUAGUAAUUAAAAACAUUUUUUUGCAACAAGAAGGGAUAUAAAUUCUUGGUGGCCUAGGCCUCAUCACCCACCUCUGCAUUCUGUAUCUUAACAGAGAUAGAGAUUCUACACCAUUUUUUUCUUUCGGUCUUAAUAAUUAAGGAAUAGAAAGCACUCCCAACAGUAAUAGUAGCUUAUUACUGGAGAAACUCUCAACAAGAUUAGAGGGGAAAGACAGAGUGGGAAUGAUUGUAAUUGGCAAAAAAGCCAGUUGGUAAAUUACCAAGAAGUAUUUUGGUUACUUUGGUAUUAUAUGGUUACCUUCACCUGUAAUGUGACCUUAAAUUUAUAAAUAUGCUCCCUAAAUGUUCUUUAGUUUGCCUAACUGAACCUCAACCUUUAUCAUUCCAAUUUUAUAGCUUUGUUUUUUUUUCUAAUUCUACUGUUUUGAGUGAGUGUGUUUACUUUUAUUUACUGAAUACUUGUUAAUGUUAGCAGAAAUCAGUUCCAGUUUUCCCUACUAACAGAUAAGUGUUUUCAUUAUUUUUGUUGUCUUCUAAUUUGUGCAUAUACAUUACAGUUUUUACAGAAUUAUAAUAUCAUAGAUAGUUUUUUUAUUUUACUUUUAUAGCAUAAGCAUUUUCCCAUGUUAUCUAAUAUUAUUAUUAUUGUAAUAGUUAAUGGUUACAUGAUAGUUUACCAAGCAGCUAUUAAAGUUUCCUCAAUUGUAAUGCCCAACAGGAAAUUUUUUGGUUUCUGCCUAUUUUAACAUUAAAUUAAGCACCUCUGUGCAUAUACUUUUUUCUUACUUCCAGUUGUUUAAGACACCGAUCAAAUGAAAUUACUAGGUCAAAGAAAGACUUGCCAGAGUCUUUCUCCCCAAAUAGUUGAGCAGGUGUAUAUCAUAAUGUUAAUGUACUAACCUUGUCAUAAUUUUAUCAAUUUUGGAGUUGUUCUUAUUAAAAAAGUAGGAUUACUUAGCUAGGAAUUAUUAAUGGGAGUAAGCUGCAUUAUUUAGACGUUUUAUUUAGUUGACUAUAUCAAUCCAUAAUUAUUUGUUUGCCAGUGAUCUAUGUGGGGGACAGAUAUUGUAUAUUUAAUAUUUUCUGUCAUUUCAUUUUGUUUCCCUUAAAGAUUACUGAAACUUUUGAUAUCCUAGUAACAAUAAUCCUUAAAUUUUAUGCAGUUUUACAUAGUUUACACAUUGGAUGUCUUAUGUUUGUUUUAACGUAAGAGCUAUGUUUUGAACUGUACAUUUAUGAAUUACUAAAAUUUGUAAUGACGUUUAUUUCAUAUAUAUAAUCCUUCAAAUAAAAUGUUAUAGCCAAAUUAACUGUGCCAGUCAUCUUCUGGCAUGUUUUAAGAAUAUAAUCAGUGUUUUAGGAUAGUUAUUUGUCAUGUUGCCAUGAGUCUACCACUUAUUAUCUCUGUCACCCUGGGCAAAUAAUAUACCUUCUCUGUGCUUCAGUUUCCUUAUCUUUAAAAAUAAUGCUUAACUCAUAGCUUUUUGAACAUUCAGAUAAUUAAUUAUAUUCAGUGCUUGAAACAGUGUCAGGAACUUAAUGAGUACUCAGUGUACGGUAUGGUAAUUAUUAUUGUUAAAGUUCAUUCAAAAAUAAUAAUAAUCCAGCACAACCCUGACAGGCAUGCUUGCAAUGUGGCUUAAAGGCAGUACUGCAAUCAUCUAUUUAGUAGCUUUGGCAAUAAUGUUGAGUUUUCCCUGGGAACUUAUAAUUUGUGGCAGAACUUACUGCCUUAGAAUUUUCAUAAAUCCAUGUGAGAGAAUAUCUUAUAUUUUUUGUUCCAUAUACACCCCUUCUGCCCAUGUGAGACUGUUUCUAUAAAAAACUCAUUCAGUAUAGCAUAUCCAUAUUUUGAGAUGAUAAAACUGCGAUACUGUGACUUCCAUACAAUCCAAUUAUUUUCUUCUGCUCCACCAAUCCACUACAAACACUUUGGUGAGACCUUUCAUUUCUUCCUCUCCAUAGUGGAAGAGAUGAUUAAAUUAAAACACCACAUUUCUCUUUUGGGGUGGGGGGUGUGCAAGAAUUAGUAGCUUGAUUUGGAAAGCCAGCAUACCGAGAAGACCAUGGAUUUGUGUCCCAAAGAAUCAUCUUCCCUCAGAGUUUAGCCUUCUUUUCUACCAGAAGGAGAGGGAAUACAAUCCUGGUUCAGGUCAGACUCCAGAAGGGAGGUACUCUUUUCUUCCUUCCUGCAGCCAUUCACAGGUGAGCAUGGUCAAGAGUUUUCCUAUGAGCUAAACAAAAGUAUUUUAGCUUAACGUUCAUUACACGGAAGGCAAGGUUCCCAGAGAUGGGCCAUUAUGUAUAAUAUAAAGUUAUAGGCAGAGUUCCCAUCAUGGCUCAGUGGUUAAUGAACGUGACAAGUAUCCACGAAGAUCUCUGGCCUUGCUUGGUGGGUUAAGGAUCUGGCAUUGUAGUAAGAUGUGGUGUAGGUCGCAGACGCGGCUGGGAUCCCACAUUGCUGUGUUGUAGGCUGGCAGCUACAGCUCCAAUUUAGCCCCUAGCCUAGGAAUUCCCAUAUGCUGCUGGUGCAGUCCUAAAAAGACAAAAAAAAAAAAAAAGUUUAUAGGCAACAUCACUUUAGUGAUUAAAGGAAAUGGAUCCAACAUGGAGUCAGGUUUGUUCUUCCCUACUACAGGAUGACAUAUUGGUUUAUUGGUUCUUGGCUAGAUUGAAUCAUAUGUCUACAGUCAGCUGUGGGUUGGCUAGGCAGUCCUUUUGUUGUUACUGGUGAUAUUAGUCAACCACAUGUCUGCUCGUUAACUAGCAGUUAAUUGACUGGUCUAGUUAACCUCAGCCUUUCUCCUAGAAGCCUAGCCUGGUUCUCAUGGCAAAACACCACACUUCCAAUGUUUGUUCUUUUGAUUUCUUUACCAAUUUCUUUACUAAUAAAUACAACAUCAUUUCUCAGUCACAGUGUUGAGAGUCACUGAUAUCUUUCAUCAUUUGUAAGACAGGCUUUAAUGAUUGCUGAAGUAUGAAUGCUAGGGUUACUUUUGAGGUAAUAUCUCUUUCAUUUACUUGAAUAUUGACAUAUUUUGCAGGAGGGGGAGAUGAGCUUACCAGUGUUAAAAUGGGAAUUGUACGUAAUCUAUACUCUGUGUUAUUUGUGCCUUCUUCAUAUUGAGAAAUUAUUGUUGAUGUACUCCUAAUAGGUGAUUGUUAUGAAUUACUGUAAUUCUUGGUGAGCUGUCAGUUUCUAUUUCUUUUUUUUUAAACUUUUAUAAGAUGUAUUUUCAGUAAGAGAUGAGAUCCUGCUGUGUAGCCCUGGGGACUAUGUCUAGUCACUUAGGAUGCAGCAUGAUAAUAUGAGAAAAAAGAAUGUAUACAUGUAUGUGUAACUGGGUCACCAUGCUGUACAGUAGGAAAAAAAAAACUGUAUUGGGGAAAUAAAAAUUAAAAAAUAAAAUAGAUAUAAAAUAAAAAAA